RNAcentral lists this ribosomal RNA (670 nucleotides) under uncultured bacterium. Its description in RNAcentral is "bacterial SSU rRNA". It matches the Rfam family "Bacterial small subunit ribosomal RNA", at positions 214 to 884 of the family's 1533-position model. The record is from RNAcentral.
UCCGGUAGACGAUGGGGAUGCGUUCCAUUAGAUAGUAGGCGGGGUAACGGCCCACCUAGUCUUCGAUGGAUAGGGGUUCUGAGAGGAAGGUCCCCCACAUUGGAACUGAGACACGGUCCAAACUCCUACGGGAGGCAGCAGUGAGGAAUAUUGGUCAAUGGGCGAGAGCCUGAACCAGCCAAGUAGCGUGAAGGAUGACUGCCCUAUGGGUUGUAAACUUCUUUUAUAAAGGAAUAAAGUCGGGUAUGGAUACCCGUUUGCAUGUACUUUAUGAAUAAGGAUCGGCUAACUCCGUGCCAGCAGCCGCGGUAAUACGGAGGAUCCGAGCGUUAUCCGGAUUUAUUGGGUUUAAAGGGAGCGUAGAUGGAUGUUUAAGUCAGUUGUGAAAGUUUGCGUCUCAACCGUAAAAUUGCAGUUGAUACUGGAUAUCUUGAGUGCAGUUGAGGCAGGCGGAAUUCGUGGUGUAGCGGUGAAAUGCUUAGAUAUCACGAAGAACUCCGAUUGCGAAGGCAGCCUGCUAAGCUGCAACUGACAUUGAGGCUCGAAAGUGUGGGUAUCAAACAGGAUUAGAUACCCUGGUAGUCCACACGGUAAACGAUGAAUACUCGCUGUUUGCGAUAUACUGCAAGCGGCCAAGCGAAAGCGUUAAGUAUUCCACCUGGGGAGUACG